CGGCUCCCGCCGGGCCCCGGGGCGGCCCUGCGCCUCCUCAGCCGCUGCCGGCGCCUCAGCCCGAGAUGCCCGACCUCAGCCACCUCACGGAGGAGGAGCGGAAAAUCAUCCUGGCCGUCAUGGACCGCCAGAAGAAGGAAGAGGAGAAGGAGCAAUCCGUGCUCAAGGUCAAAGAAGAACAAAAACCACAGCUGACACAGUAAGUAAAUUAACUUAAAAGUGCAGUAGGCUUGACUUUUCUACCUUUGCCAUGUUCUGCUUUCUGCACCUUUGAUGGUAUUAGCUUACCCUAAUACCUGAUAGGCUGCAGUUAGUUUGCCAUCUGCUUCCUGACUGGCUUGUAAGAGAGCUGCCUGCAGCUUCUUACUUCAUCCACAUCUCGGUUGGAUGUAGGUUCUUGCUGCCUGCUUGUGAACUGGUUAACUGUAAAACUUUGUUUUCCCUUUCCCCCCUUAGUGGCUGAUUUAGUACUGCAGCUAACAUUCCCAUUGGCUCUAGCUUUUCCGCCUGUAUAUUUUCUAUUAUCAUUGGAUAAGAAAACAUUUGAACUAGUGUGGUUUUAUUGGUUAUUCAGUCACAUUAUUUGCUUAUUUAAACAGGUGGUUUCCCUUUAGUGGGAUCACUGAGCUGGUAAAUAACGUUCUUCAACCACAGCAAAAGCAGCAAAAUGAAAAGGAGCCCCAGACGUAAGUAAGCUGCUCUCUGUAGACUAAGUAAUGUCUGUAUAGCAUUAAAACUUACUGGAGAGUAGGUUUAUAAGAACUGCCCAUUUAGAACAUCCUGCUGAAGGCAUUUUACAAGCUGACACUGUUUGCUUUCCAACCCUCAUUGGCAAAGGGAAAGCUGAAAAUCAACUUUGGCAUUUUUAACAGUAAUUUAAGUGGUUAUAUUAGAAAACAAUCAGAGGAAAUACUACUGCUCCAUUUGCCUUUUUCUGCAAAUGCUCCAUACGUGAAACUCUCAGUGAAGUGAUGUGUUUUCUGUGCAUGCGGAGCUUGAAUUAUAAGACAUGUAUUAUAUAUAGCAUAUCUAUGCAAAUGCAUGGUAUUUGUGGUACUGAUCAUGCAUAGAAUGCUAUACAAAUCUAUAUAAUAUGAAGACCUCUUAAAGGACCAGGAAAAUACCAUUUCAUUUUUUUCAUGCUUCUAAAAUAUCUGUAAAGUUUCAAAACUUUAGCAGAUAUGAGGUGAAAUUUUGGUUCUGUCAAAAUUCAGGGGAGUUUUGACUUUGAUGGGGCCAUUAUUUCAUCCAUGGACCCUCUACAGUGCUAAGCCAGUAUGAGAGCUGUGUGAAAAGUUUUACUUUUCUUUCAGUCUGAAAAUGUUAUGAUUUAACAGGAACUGGCAAAGCUAGGACAUUCAGUCUUAGAGUGGAACUUAAAGCAUGAAGCUAAAAAUACUCUUUUCCUAAUGAGAAACUAAAAAAUAUAUAUCAAAUUUUAAGAUUUUUAAAUGUGACAUCUGAUAUUAUUUGAACUUUAAAUGGUUAUGUAUUUUCUUUUUAAGAUGAUUGUUUUAUAAUUUCACAUUACGAAAUAAAUGUUUGCUUUUGAACCCA
RNAcentral lists this long non-coding RNA (1557 nucleotides) under Anas platyrhynchos platyrhynchos (common mallard). RNAcentral's name for it is "lncRNA (ENSAPLG00000017176.1)". The record is from RNAcentral. Lineage: Eukaryota; Metazoa; Chordata; Aves; Anseriformes; Anatidae.